UCGACGCUUGACUUUUUUUAAUAGGACUUUUUUCAUAUAUCCAUAAUAUACAGGCAACAUAAAGGCAACAAGCGGUUACAAGCGUGUUGUGUUUUGCUUGAUAUCUGCUUCGCUGAUCUCGCUUCAUUUUUUAUUAUAUUAUCAUUCAAGAUUACAAGCCCUUAUUCUAGCAUACUAAAAGCAGUGAUGAUGAUGACUUCAGAUCAAACUCCAAUUCAAAUUAAUCGAUUGCUAUUAAAAAUCGAAUUGCACCGCUUCAUCACUCUUCUGCUCAUCAGAAAUUAGCAAACAAGACAUUCGGCUGGAACUCAAAUUGUCCGUUUUUGAAAAAUAUCCAAACAGCGUCCAGAACAUCCCGAUCGGCCACGACGAGCAGGUGGAUAUCAUGCAUGACGCAAAAGGCAAAAAGAAAAAUGGCACUACAACCUUCAUGACUGAUGACGAUGCUCAAGGAGUUGAAAAUGCAAAUCCUGAUGUUGGGCCGCCUCCGGUUCCUGCCCCACCAGAAGGUGAUAACAACCAAAAUCAAGUACCUGCCCCGCCAGAAGGUGAUCAAUAACAACCAAAAUUGACAAGAGCAACAUCGUAAAAUUGGAGCAUAAAGUCCAGCGGCACCUGGCUAAUUUUUGGUAGGCUUUCCAGCAGAUGGAUGAAUGGAGGAAGUCAGUAUCAUGGACUUUUCAGAAGACGAAAAAAAUAAAAUAUUCUUAUAAUACAUAACUCAUUCCAUAAAUGCUUGUUGUAUAUUCCAAAUUCCUUGCUUAGAGAAUUAAUCUUUUGAUAAAGAAAAAUUAAAUCACUGCUUGCACAAGAGAGGAGGAGACUUGAAUUUAAAGUUUCCUAGGAGGCUUUGUCAUCUGUCCUCAUUGAAAAAUUAAAAAAAUUUCCCCUGAAAUAAAAUAAAUUUCAAUGAGGUCCAAACCAUUUUUUCCAUGCCUAUAUUUUUUUUUAUAAAAUCAUGUCAGUGGAUGAGAAUAAUUUUUUUUUUUUUUAUUUGAAAGAGAUAUUUAUUGUUCGAAUGUGUGGCACAGUGGUUAGUGCGCUUGGCUGAUAAUCUGGAGGCCUUGGGUUCUAUCCUGGCCAGGGUCAGGGCUUGAAAAAGUUCUGAUUCUGACCGGCUAGUUCACAAGACUACAGAAAAUCAUAGGAGGUGCAUUAAUCACUGCGACAGGCAGAUUCGGGAGAAAUUGCAGGCAUUUCGUCUGAAAUUUCGGCCAUGCUGUCUGGUGUUUUCUGCGGUUUCCAUCAGACAUUCCAGGCAAAUGCCGGCAUAGUUCCCAUUCAUAGGCCGCAGCCGCUCGUGCCUUCCUCAUCCUUCAAAUUCCCAACAUACAAACACAUCCUACACUCCCUUCUCCCCGGC
Neocloeon triangulifer is the source of this 1363-nucleotide long non-coding RNA. RefSeq lists it as uncharacterized. The transcript is spliced from 3 exons. The record is from RefSeq and is a predicted model, not a curated record. NCBI's taxonomy places the organism in Eukaryota, Metazoa, Arthropoda, Insecta, Ephemeroptera, Baetidae.